CAUUCGAUGAAGACCGUAGCAAAAUGCGAUAAGUGGUGUGAUAUGCAAGUCCAAAACUUAUACGUGAACCAUCGAAUUGUUGAACGCACUGCAUCGAGCUUAUCCAGAACGAUACGCCCCAUUGAGCGUCAUUAUGUCUUUGCGACUUGUCACUCUAUGUGGCCUGUCCAGGUUCGGGAUUCACGACCCUACGUGUCGCGCUUCCUCAGAUGUAUGGUUGCACCGACACACACGGCGACCUUGUCAUAAAUGUCGAGGUCCGCCUGCAAGCGUCAAGUGCAAGAUCCUCUGCUGUGUUCACUGGAUCAAACGUGUCCGCUCCGGCGGACGCGGCUUCUUGACAUGACCUCACGGGGGUGGGACGACCCGCUAGACUUAAGCAUAUUAAUCAGCGGAGGAAAAGAAACUAACAAGGAUUCCCCCAGUAACUGCGAGUGAAGAGGGAUUAGCUCAAUGUGUGAAUCGGGUCGGGAUUAGCCCCUGUCUCGAGUUGUGCACUAUAGAUGCCGGAUCAGCGCUUGAAGGAUCGAGGUGGAUGUCCGAUGAAACUCGGUGCCAUAGAGGGUCAUAGUCCUGUACUUGCCUUGUCAUCCUUUGCGCAUUUGACCGGUACUCUGCGAGUCGCGUAGUUUUGUAUUGCUGCGCUAAUUGGGAGGUAGAGCCCUUCUAAAGCUAAAUAUGAUGACGUGACCGAUAGCACACAAGUACCGCGAGGGAAAGGUGAAAAGCAACCAUGCAGAAUGGGUUGAAACAGCAGUGAAAGCGUUACUGGGAUAAGGGCUGGGGAUUGCUUGUGUCGCUCGCGCGUGCUUCAGUGCUGUGCUUGUGAACGGCACGCUUACAUUGGAUGGAGAGAGCAGGGCCUUGGGAA
Molecule: ribosomal RNA, 871 nt
Filed under: uncultured Tulasnellaceae
Lineage: Eukaryota; Fungi; Basidiomycota; Agaricomycetes; Cantharellales; Tulasnellaceae
Description: eukaryotic LSU rRNA
Rfam family: Eukaryotic large subunit ribosomal RNA (bases 344-871)
Source: RNAcentral